UAUACCUCAUGAAUCAUUAUACAAUGGGUUUAAUCUUGUACGGCACGAGAGAGCAAAUGGCCAGGCAAGGGUUAAAAAAGGUGAGUAAUUAUAUUAUUAUUAUAAAUCUUAACAUCAAGUUGUUUUGAAACAAUCCAUUUGAAAUAGCAGCUUUAGUUUUUUGGUUGUUCCGUUGGAGGAAAAAUACACAAUGCAUACUGGGUACAUUCUAUUUGAGUUUUGCAGCAAAAUACAAUUAUUUUUCCAUUUUUACGCAUGUUGUCAGGUCACAUUUGAUGACUAUGAUGGAGCCAUUGGAUUUGUCAACAUAAUAAAUGUGCACUGGAAGUUUGUGACAGUAUUUCAAAAUGCGCCGGAACCGACUUGGAAAGGAGGACUGGGUUAACAUCAAGUGGCAGCCGGGCCAGAUAACCCACACCUGCCAGAAAGAUGGCAGCAGUUGUGGGAUCUUUGUCAUGCAGAUGGCCAAGAUGACGGUGGAACUUCCAAAGAUUCCGCAGCAUUUUCGCAUCAACUCAUCUAAACAAUCUAUUGAAAAGCUAAGAAGAGACGAGGCUGAAGACAUUCUGAAACUAGAAUGGGCACUCGGUAGAGCGCA
Pseudoliparis swirei is the source of this 598-nucleotide long non-coding RNA. RefSeq lists it as uncharacterized. The record is from RefSeq and is a predicted model, not a curated record. The transcript is spliced from 3 exons. NCBI's taxonomy places the organism in Eukaryota, Metazoa, Chordata, Actinopteri, Perciformes, Liparidae.